This 29-nucleotide non-coding RNA is filed under the name Rattus norvegicus (Norway rat). The record is from RNAcentral. Lineage: Eukaryota; Metazoa; Chordata; Mammalia; Rodentia; Muridae.
UGUUAAGUUUUUGUCCUGACGUCCUGGGU